RNAcentral lists this ribosomal RNA (726 nucleotides) under uncultured bacterium. Its description in RNAcentral is "bacterial SSU rRNA". It matches the Rfam family "Bacterial small subunit ribosomal RNA", at positions 106 to 828 of the family's 1533-position model. The record is from RNAcentral.
GUGUGUAGUAUCUGGAGCGUGCGUACUGUCGGGGGAGAACUACUCGGGGACGUAGGAUAUACCGCAGACAUCCCUACUUGGAAUAGCAGGGGAGCGGAUGAACUUGCGUUAUUGGAGCGGCUCAUAUCCGAUUACCUGGUUGGUGAGGUAAUGGCUCACCAUGGCGACCAUCCGUACCUCGUUUCAUAGGACGACCAGAAACACUGAUGACUGAGACAGGGCCCGACUCCUACACGAAGCACCACUGGGGGAUUUUGUACAAUGGGGGAAACACUGAUCCACCGUUCCCCCGUGUGCGAUGACGGCCUUCAGGUUGUAUAGCACUUUUGGCAGGUAAGAUAUGUCGUGGGAUCAUAUGCAGCGAUAAUGACUGGACCCGUGAAAUAACCUACCCCGAACUACAUGGCUACAUCCGCGCUAAUACGUGCGGUGCUAGCGUGGUUCCGAAUUUUGGCGCGUAUUGCGUGCGCAAGCGGGUUCGAAAGAGAUAUGUGAAAUCUCAUAGCUUAUCUUCGGAACUGCACUUUUAGCUACAUUGCUAAAUUGUGUCAUAGGGAGGUGGAGAUUGCGCGUGUAUACUGAAUGUAGUAGAGAUGUGGAGGAAACACCUAUAGCAAAAGCAGUGUCCUGGGCGACUAUUGACUCUCAUGCACAAAGCGUGAGGAGCAGACAGGAGUACAUACACGGGUAGUCUCCGCGCUAGACCAUGUCAUCUAUUAGUUGUGG